AACGAACGCUGGCGGCAGGCCUAACACAUGCAAGUCGAACGAGACCUUCGGGUCUAGUGGCGCACGGGUGCGUAACGCGUGGGAAUCUGCCCUUGGGUGGGGGAUAACAGUUGGAAACGACUGCUAAUACCGGAUGAUGACUUCGGACCAAAGAUUUAUCGCCCAGGGAUGAGCCCGCGUCGGAUUAGCUAGUUGGUGAGGUAAGAGCUCACCAAGGCGACGAUCCGUAGCUGGUCUGAGAGGAUGAUCAGCCACACUGGGACUGAGACACGGCCCAGACUCCUACGGGAGGCAGCAGUGGGGAAUAUUGGACAAUGGGCGAAAGCCUGAUCCAGCAAUGCCGCGUGAGUGAUGAAGGCCUUAGGGUUGUAAAUCUCUUUUACCCGGGAUGAUAAUGACAGUACCGGGAGAAUAAGCCCCGGCUAACUCCGUG
Molecule: ribosomal RNA, 433 nt
Filed under: uncultured bacterium
Lineage: Bacteria
Description: partial 16S ribosomal RNA
Rfam family: Bacterial small subunit ribosomal RNA
Source: RNAcentral